This 379-nucleotide unclassified non-coding RNA is filed under the name uncultured bacterium. RNAcentral's name for it is "contains 16S-23S intergenic spacer region". The record is from RNAcentral.
UCCGAGUUGACCCCGGCAGUCUCCUACGAGUCCCCGGCAUUAUCCGCUGGCAACAUAAGACGAGGGUUGCGCUCGUUGCGGGACUUAACCCAACACCUCACGGCACGAGCUGACGACAGCCGUGCGUCACCUCGCACAGUGCCCCGAAGGGAGACCGGCUUUCACCGGCUGUCACUGCACGUUCAAGCCCAGGUAAGGUUCUUCGCGUUGCAUCGAAUUAAACCACACGCUCCGCUGCUUGUGCGGGCCCCCGUCAAUUCCUUUGAGUUUUAGCCUUGCGGCCGUACUCCCCAGGCGGGGUGCUUAAUGCGUUAGCUGCGGCACAGACGGCGUGGAAUACCGCCUACACCUAGCACCCAUCGUUUACGGCGUGGACUAC